GGGUCAUUAGCUCAAUGGUAGAGCAGGAGACUCUUAAUCUCUUGGUUGUAGGUUCGAGUCCUACAUGACCCA
Molecule: transfer RNA, 72 nt
Filed under: Cyanothece sp. PCC 7425
Lineage: Bacteria; Bacillati; Cyanobacteriota; Cyanophyceae; Gomontiellales; Cyanothecaceae
Description: tRNA-Lys (CTT) (tRNA-Lys-CTT-1-1)
Rfam family: tRNA
About the family: Transfer RNA (tRNA) molecules are approximately 80 nucleotides in length. Their secondary structure includes four short double-helical elements and three loops (D, anti-codon, and T loops).
Source: RNAcentral